Molecule: long non-coding RNA, 2310 nt
Organism: Corythoichthys intestinalis (scribbled pipefish)
Lineage: Eukaryota; Metazoa; Chordata; Actinopteri; Syngnathiformes; Syngnathidae
Exons: 3
Source: RefSeq, a predicted model, not a curated record
CAGAACGUGGGUCUGAAAGUCAGGGAGACAGCCGACCUAGUUUAGUAGUCCUACUUGGUGAGAAGUGAGAGAAUAUGCAUUAUCCACCGUCGAAUGUCAAAGCAUGGUAUAAGGGAUCCCAGGAUCUCAUCCAAAUUCUGGGUUCAGAAUGAUGCAAGGACGUCUCAGGUUCCGACGUACAAAGGUUCAGAGACUUCGUGUGCAAGAAUCCAUGCCACGUCUGGAUCCACCGGGAAUUGUCCGCACACUACAACUACAAACUGUUCGCUGUAGAUGAUAUUCUGUGCCAGCCCCCAACAGUCAAAGGCAUAGCUAUGGCAACCAUUAAGUCAUAAAUUAAAGCUCUAUAUUGGGGGACUCAGAAGGAAGUACAAAAAUAAAUUAAGACCAUAUUUUUUUCACCCAUUUUGGAAAGAUAAACCCAUAUAAAGUAUAAUAUAGACCAUUUUAAAUUAAGUUUAAAUAUUUCAUGCUUUUAUUAUUUAUUACGCGCUAGGAAUCUAAUUCAUCUAGAUUUGGAGUGCUUUCGCUGCCAGCCUCUCCCAGUCAAAAAUUGAUUGGAUGUCAAGCGCUGUCAAUGGCAGCCAAUGAGUUAAAUGUUGAUGUUUAUGGCUUGCAAAAAUAAGAAACCCUAAAAUUUUAUGUCUCAGAAUUAUGAAAAAAAAAAUUCUGGGCCCUGCAACACAUUGUCUGUUAUUGCAGAAAUGUUGGUAUAGUUUUAGUUGCCACUUCUGGGAGAUGAUUGGAUGAAAUUUUACCCAUCAAAAUCAAAUUAUGAGGUGUGGCACGCCCUCUUUGCUUGUUGGCUCUUUGAAAAUGGCUUAACAAGUUCAACUUCAAAAGGGAUAAUGUAAAGUGCACAUUUCUAAUCAAAAACAUAACAUUAAAAAAAAAAAACAAUAAAAGCAUGAAAUAUCCCUGACCAAAAAAGUUAAAUAAAAUUAUAUAAAUGCGAACACUUUCACAGUCUAGGGCUAGGCACAUACAGAUGAGGCUAAUCAAUAACUAAAUUUGCCAUAUACGAUGUGUGCAUGUUUAGUUAUAUUUUAGGACUAGUUGGUUCAACUUUAAAUUACAUAUUUGCAGUUUUAUGUGAUGGUCCACAUGGUUAUCAUCCCCAUGUCGAUGUCAGUCCCAGAAGUGCAGCUGCGACAGGCCUCGACUCCUGAAGAAAUUCAGCAAAUGUCAGAAUUUUCUAAUGAAUUGAAUGUCUACAACGAGACUAUCCAUCCUGCGUCAAAUAUUUGGACUUGUUUUAAAUGACAGCAUAGAAUGUUGGUUGUCGUUGAUGUGACAGUACCUCAAUAAUGUGAAGAAAUAAUAAAGGCAAUGAUUGUUUUUCUGCAAAGUAAUAUUUUAUUGAUGACCAGUGUAAUACAAUACAAAUGAUAAACAGGCAAUUGAUGUACAAAAAAGGAAUUCCAGCAAAACUAACUCGUUCAUCAAAAAAAUUGUCCACUGGACACCAACAUGAGCCACUUAAGGUCAGUAACUUUUUCCCCUAAUACUGGCCAACUGCUCACCAUCAGCAUUCCCUGAAAUGUAAAUUUAUUGCGUCUUCGGGGAGCUUUUAAAAAAAGCACGUAGAUAAGUGAGGACGAGAGAUGUCUUAUUGUUGAGGAACGACACCCCAACCUUCCUCAGAAGUAUCUAGAAGAAAAUAGAUGACAACGGCAAAAUGGUAUAAUAGAUAAGCUACGAAAGCAUUAAACGAGACACCAGCCGGUGAAAACAGUCUCCCGGAGCACCACACGAACUUGAAUGUGUGAAUUUUGCUUCACUAAAUUGCGCUAACGCUAAACUAUUCCUUGUGAGUUUAAUGUUGUUAGCAGCUUUAUCCAUGUCCCGCCUUGCCUCCCCUUCCUGAGACCCAAUGCAAGGUAUUAGCUUAUGGAAGAUUCAACAUACCUCAACUGGACUUAAGUAAAAAGUUUUUUAAAAAACACACACCAAAUUACCAAUUUAAUACGUACCUUGUCCUCAUCCAACCGAUUGCCAGCAUCCCGUAGCCGCUUGGAUUCCGACCUUCUCGUCUCGUCCCAUUAUUUUACGAAGCAAGCAAGCAGCAGGAAGUCAGACAUUACUUCGUCGAUCGAGAGGAUCACUGAACUGGCAUGUCGAUCGACCAAUGGGUGAAUAGUUCAACACAUGUAGUACCGCCCCCUCAUUUGAAUAACAUUUCCACUUGAACGUUGGCACUGACAAUGAAAUAAGUAAAUAUAUGGCAAAGCGUUUUUAUUUAUUGAUUGACAUUUAUUUCAAUCAAUAUAUUUAUUUUUGUAUUUAUUUCCACAUUUAUUUUUGUAUUUA